UACAGAGGGUGCGAGCGUUGUUCGGAUUUAUUGGGCGUAAAGGGUGCGUAGGCGGCGGGGUAAGUUAGAUGUGAAAUUCUCGGGCUUAACCCAAGAACUGCAUUUGAUACUGCUCCGCUAGAGUACUAGCGAAGGAACUGGAAUUUACGGUGUAGCAGUGAAAUGCGUAGAUAUCGUAAGGAAGACCAGUGGCGAAAGCGAGUUCCUAGUGAGUUACUGACGCUGAGGCACGAAAGCGUGGGGAGCAAACAGG
Molecule: ribosomal RNA, 253 nt
Filed under: uncultured bacterium
Lineage: Bacteria
Description: partial 16S ribosomal RNA
Rfam family: Bacterial small subunit ribosomal RNA
Source: RNAcentral